GGACAGAUGGGAGCUUGCUCCCUGAAGUCAGCGGCGGACGGGUGAGUAACACGUGGGCAACCUGCCUGUAAGACUGGGAUAACUCCGGGAAACCGGGGCUAAUACCGGAUAAUUCUUUCCCUCACAUGAGGGAAAGCUGAAAGAUGGUUUCGGCUAUCACUUACAGAUGGGCCCGCGGCGCAUUAGCUAGUUGGUGAGGUAACGGCUCACCAAGGCAACGAUGCGUAGCCGACCUGAGAGGGUGAUCGGCCACACUGGGACUGAGACACGGCCCAGACUCCUACGGGAGGCAGCAGUAGGGAAUCUUCCGCAAUGGACGAAAGUCUGACGGAGCAACGCCGCGUGAGUGAUGAAGGUUUUCGGAUCGUAAAACUCUGUUGUUAGGGAAGAACAAGUACCGGAGUAACUGCCGGUACCUUGACGGUACCUAACCAGAAAGCCACGGCUAACUACGUGCCAGCAGCCGCGGUAAUACGUAGGUGGCAAGCGUUGUCCGGAAUUAUUGGGCGUAAAGCGCGCGCAGGCGGUUCCUUAAGUCUGAUGUGAAAGCCCCCGGCUCAACCGGGGAGGGUCAUUGGAAACUGGGGAACUUGAGUGCAGAAGAGAAGAGUGGAAUUCCACGUGUAGCGGUGAAAUGCGU
This 640-nucleotide ribosomal RNA is filed under the name Bacillus sp. (in: firmicutes). Its description in RNAcentral is "bacterial SSU rRNA". It matches the Rfam family "Bacterial small subunit ribosomal RNA", at positions 68 to 691 of the family's 1533-position model. The record is from RNAcentral. Lineage: Bacteria; Bacillati; Bacillota; Bacilli; Caryophanales; Bacillaceae.